GCAAAUUGACAAAGACAGUAGAAAUUGAUGAGACUGAUAAUUCCAAUUCCAGUUUCAGUCAAACAUAUACAACCACAAAUGUUUUCUCCAUCAAAUUCCUUCAAGCUUAUCUUCUUCAAUCCAAGAAGAAACUCUACGAAAAGUCUCCCCCUUUAAUAAUGGGUUGUUUCAGCAGUAAACACCGGACAACUCAAAACGACGGCGGAGAAAGAUCAAAUCCGAUCAAUCCAGUUCAAACCCAUGUCGUUAAUCAAGUCCCUGAGCAUCGUGAACCUCAAAUCCCAACACCAUCGGUACCCAUCUCAGUUCGAGAUCCAGCGACGAUAUUAGGUAAACCAUUGGAAGACAUCAGGAGAUUCUACAGCUUGGGGAAAGAAUUAGGUCGAGGUCAAUUUGGGAUUACGUAUAUGUGUAAAGAGAUUGGGACUGGGAACAAUUACGCUUGUAAAUCGAUUCUCAAGAGGACGCUAAUUAGUGAGAGAGAAGAUGUGAAGACAGAGAUUCUUAAGAGGAAGCUAGUUAAUAAGUAUGAUAAAGAAAAUUUGAAGAGAGAGAUUCAGAUAAUGCAGCAUUUGUCUGGACAACCAAACAUUGUUGAGAUUAAAGGUGCUUAUGAGGAUAGACAGUCUGUGCAUUUGGUAAUGGAGUUGUGUGCUGGUGGUGAGUUGUUUGAUAGGAUUAUAGCUCAAGGUCAUUACUCUGAGAGAGCUGCUGCUGGUAUCAUUAGGUCUAUUGUCAAUGUUGUUCAGAUUUGUCAUUUGAAGGGUGUGAUUCAUCGAGAUCUCAAGCCUGAGAAUUUCUUGUUCUCGAGUAAAGAGGAGAAUGCAAUGCUUAAAGUAACCGAUUUCGGGUUGUCCGCCUUCAUCGAAGAAGGAAAAGUUUACCAGGAUGUAGUUGGGAGCCGUUACUACGUUGCUCCUGAAGUAUUAAGGCGAAGUUACGGGAAAGAAAUCGAUAUUUGGAGUGCAGGUGUCAUUUUAUACAUCCUACUCAGCGGUUUACCUCCUUUUUGGGCUGACAAUGAGGAUGGAAUAUUCGUUGAGAUUCUAAAAGGCGAAAUUGAUGUUGAAAGCCAACCAUGGCCUUCUAUAUCUGAGAGCGCGAAAGAUCUUGUUAGAAAGAUGCUAACCAAAGACCCGAAGAGACGAAUCACGGCUGCACAGGUUCUUGAACAUCCUUGGAUCAAAGGGGGAGAAGCACCGGACAAGCCUAUUGAUAGCACUGUGUUAUCCCGUAUGAAGCAAUUCCGAGCAAUGAACAAGCUUAAGAAGCUAGCUCUAAAGAUUAGCGCGGAGAGUCUAUCAGAAGAGGAGAUCAAAGGUCUUAAAACCAUGUUUGCGAAUAUGGAUACCAAUAGAAGCGGGACAAUCACUUAUGAACAACUCAAAACUGGGCUAAGUAGACUUAGGUAUAGAUUCUCUGAAACUGAAGUUAAGCAACUCAUGGAAGCGGCUGAUGUGGAUGGUAAUGGAACAAUUGACUACUAUGAGUUUAUCUCUGCGACAAUGCAUAGAUACAAAUUAGAUCGAGAUGAGCAUGUACACAAAGCAUUCCAACACUUUGAUAAAGACAACAAUGGGCACAUAACUAGGGCUGAGUUGGAAAGUGUCAUGAAGGAAUAUGGAAUGGGAGAUGAAGCUAGCAUCAAAGAAGUUAUAUCCGAAGUUGAUACCGACAAUGAUGGAAAAAUAAACUUUGAGGAAUUUCGUGCGAUGAUGAGAUGCGGCACCACACAACCAAAAGGGAAAAUGUUUCCAUUCCACUGAUCAAGACUACAUAGAUCCCAACAGCUUAUCAACGGAAAGUAAUUCUUAAACCCGGAGUACAAGAGCAAACCCAGGAAAAACCGAGGAACUAUGUUACAGGAUGGUAAAAUAACCUUUGAGGAAUUUCGUGCGAUGAUGAGAUGUGGCACGCACCACACAACCAAAAGGGAAACUGUUUCUAUUCCACUGAUCAAGACUACAUAGAUCCCAACAGCUUAUCAAGGGAAAGUAAUUCUUAAACCCGGAGUACAAGAGCUAAACCAUGAAAAAGCGAGGUGAGAGUAGUCUCAGAAUGUUCUUUUUUUUUCUUCUGUGUUUGAAUGUGAUCCUGUGAGGAUUAGUUUAAUAGUCAUUCACCAGAACAACUUUAUUUAUCCUUCUCCUUAGUUAGUUGAAACUGAGUUUGAGAUACUGUCAUGUCUUAGCUCUUCUUCUUCAUCAUCUCUCUCUUUCUUUCUCUUUCAGUGACUUGCUCGAGAAUUGAUCUUGUCACAGGUUAGCACUUAUUGUGCCUUUGCAACCAGACAAGCUACAAGAGGUUGGCGUCUUAGCUCUUUGUAAGUUGUAACAAAAACAAAUCUACUCUUUCUUUUUGUAACUUUCUUGAGAAUCUUGUAAGUCAGACUUUUUCAUACAAAACGCUUAAUACUGUUAAGCAA
RNA transcript from Arabidopsis lyrata subsp. lyrata, 2425 nucleotides. It is a transcript of the gene named calcium-dependent protein kinase 23, with no coding region annotated. The transcript has 9 exons. NCBI's taxonomy places the organism in Eukaryota, Viridiplantae, Streptophyta, Magnoliopsida, Brassicales, Brassicaceae. The record is from RefSeq and is a predicted model, not a curated record.